GAUGAACGCUGGCGGCGUGCCUAAUACAUGCAAGUCGAGCGAACGGAUGAGAAGCUUGCUUCUUUGAUGUUAGCGGCGGACGGGUGAGUAACACGUGGAUAACCUACCUAUAAGACUGGGAUAACUUCGGGAAACCGGAGCUAAUACCGGAUAAUAUUUUGAACCGCAUGGUUCUAAAGUGAAAGAUGGUUUUGCUGUCACUUAUAGAUGGACCCGCGCUGUAUUAGCUAGUUGGUAAGGUAACGGCUUACCAAGGCAACGAUGCGUAGCCGACCUGAGAGGGUGAUCGGCCACACUGGAACUGAGACACGGUCCAGACUCCUACGGGAGGCAGCAGUAGGGAAUCUUCCGCAAUGGGCGAAAGCCUGACGGAGCAACGCCGCGUGAGUGAUGAAGGUCUUCGGAUCGUAAAACUCUGUUAUUAGGGAAGAACAUAUGUGUAAGUAACUGUGCACGUCUUGACGGUACCUAAUCAGAAAGCCACGGCUAACUACGUG
This 497-nucleotide ribosomal RNA is filed under the name uncultured bacterium. RNAcentral's name for it is "partial 16S ribosomal RNA". It matches the Rfam family "Bacterial small subunit ribosomal RNA", at positions 28 to 507 of the family's 1533-position model. The record is from RNAcentral.